UAAUACGUAGGGUGCAAGCGUUGUCCGGAAUUAUUGGGCGUAAAGAGCUCGUAGGCGGUCUGUCACGUCGGCUGUGAAAACCCGGGGCUCAACCCCGGGCCUGCAGUCGAUACGGGCAGACUAGAGUGCGGUAGGGGAGACUGGAAUUCCUGGUGUAGCGGUGAAAUGCGCAGAUAUCAGGAGGAACACCGGUGGCGAAGGCGGGUCUCUGGGCCGUAACUGACGCUGAGGAGCGAAAGCGUGGGGAGCGAACAGGAUUAGAUACCCUGGUAGUCCACGCCGUAAACGUUGGGCGCUAGGUGUCGGGAACCUUCCACGUUCUCGGUGCCGCAGCUAACGCAUUAAGCGCCCCGCCUGGGGAGUACGGCCGCAAGGCUA
RNAcentral lists this ribosomal RNA (378 nucleotides) under uncultured bacterium. Its description in RNAcentral is "bacterial SSU rRNA". It matches the Rfam family "Bacterial small subunit ribosomal RNA", at positions 521 to 896 of the family's 1533-position model. The record is from RNAcentral.